UUAGCUUUCUUGCUUCGGCUAAGAUCAAGUGUAGUAUCUGUUCUCUUUAGGUUAAUACCUAAAGUAAAGUCAAUAUGACUUUAUUGGUAUUUUCCCUAUAUUUGAGGCGUGAACCACUUGGCUUCGUGCCAGGUGGAUCGCAGGUGGUCGUGGAAUCCGCACUAGCUCCAUGCACUGCCUUGCAUCA
Fonticula alba is the source of this 187-nucleotide small nuclear RNA. It matches the Rfam family "U2 spliceosomal RNA". Rfam says of the family: U2 is a small nuclear RNA (snRNA) component of the spliceosome (involved in pre-mRNA splicing). Complementary binding between U2 snRNA (in an area lying towards the 5' end but 3' to hairpin I) and the branchpoint sequence (BPS) of the intron results the bulging out of an unpaired adenosine, on the BPS, which initiates a nucleophilic attack at the intronic 5' splice site, thus starting the first of two transesterification reactions that mediate splicing. The record is from Rfam. NCBI's taxonomy places the organism in Eukaryota, Rotosphaerida, Fonticulaceae.